CCUCCUCGAUCUGCUGCGGGCAGAUGAAGUGGAUGUGGCUGUCGAUGCCGCCGGCGGUGACGAUGUUCCCCUCGCAACUGAUGACCUCGGUGCCCGGGCCGAUGACGAUGUCCACGCCCGGCUGCACGUCGGGAUUGCCGGCCUUGCCGAUGGCGACGAUGCGGCCGCCCUUCAGGCCGAUGUCGGCCUUGACGAUGCCCCAGUGGUCCAGGAUGAGCGCGUUGGUCAUCACGGUGUCGACCACGCCCUCGGCGCGCGUGCGCUGCGACUGCGCCAUGCCGUCGCGGAUG
Small RNA from Variovorax sp. JS1663, 290 nucleotides. It matches the Rfam family "5' ureB small RNA". The record is from Rfam. Lineage: Bacteria; Pseudomonadati; Pseudomonadota; Betaproteobacteria; Burkholderiales; Comamonadaceae.